This 253-nucleotide ribosomal RNA is filed under the name uncultured bacterium. RNAcentral describes it as "partial 16S ribosomal RNA". It matches the Rfam family "Bacterial small subunit ribosomal RNA", at positions 524 to 776 of the family's 1533-position model. The record is from RNAcentral.
AACAGGGGGGACUAGUGUUAUUCUUAAUUAUUGGGCGUAAAGCGCAAGUAGGCGGUCGAUCAAGUUCUUAUAAAAAUGCCAGAGCCUAACUCUGGCACACGUUAGAAUACUAAUCAACUCGAGUCACUUUAAUGAUUGUGGAAUUUCUAGGGUAGAGUUAAAAUUCUUUGAUCCUAGAAGGAACAUCAACGGCCAAGGCAACAAUCAAGGAGAAGACUGACGCUGAUUUGCGAAAGCAUGGGUAGCAAACAGG